GGUCUGCUGCUUCAGAGUUCAUCUCGCGAGCCCAGGACAGGGUCUACACUGUAGCUGUUAUGUAAUGAGAAAUAUCUGAGAGUAGAAGUCCUGUGAAGCCGUAACUUGUGUCCAGGCUGCUGCACUUCAAAAGCAUGGGCAGGAAGAAAAGGUGUCUGGAAAAAUGCUUCACCUACUGAUGCUGCAAAGCACUGUGGCACUAAAUCAGCCAGUGCGGUGUGAAGAUAACCAGCGCGGACCAAACAGCAGCCCCGCUACACUGGCUGUGACUCAAACUGGCAGAAUGAGUUUUACUUCUCUGUUCCAGGAAUGUCUUGAGAGUGCAACUAUAUCUGCACAGCAUUCCUGGGAGGUUUGUGAAGGAGUUUAAGCUGAUACAGAAGACUAUUAAAAUGCAUGGUACUGCCUGCAAAGCAGUGGGAAGAUCAAACAGCCAGCUGCUCAACAUUGGUCACUGCCUUCAGAGAACAAUGAACACAUCAGCACGGCUGAGCGCUGCUGUAGAUCACCCAGCACACACAGAGUGCAAUCCAACGAGCUACAGGAGACAGGCUUGCAGAUUGGAGGCUCUGGAGCAGUUUUUAACAGCUUGAGUUUGAAAACAAUAACACAUUAAUGUUGGCUAAUUCACAGGCUACCGAGAAGUACAGUCCUUGUUCCAAACAUUUAAUAAAGGAAAGAGUAGAAGUGAAGGAAUGUUUCAUGUCAUUGUUGGAUUUAUCUUGCUCAGAUAC
Molecule: non-coding RNA, 734 nt
Organism: Meleagris gallopavo (turkey)
Lineage: Eukaryota; Metazoa; Chordata; Aves; Galliformes; Phasianidae
Source: RefSeq, a predicted model, not a curated record